UGGGGAAUUUUGCACAAUGGGGGGAACCUUGAUGCAGCGACGCCGCGUGAGGGAUGGAGGCCUUCGGGUUGUGAACCUCUUUCGCUCGUGUGCAAGCCGCUAUUUGGGUAGUGGUGAGUGUAGCGGGUAAAGAAGCGCCGGCUAACUACGUGCCAGCAGCCGCGGUAAUACGUAGGGCGCGAGCGUUGUCCGGAUUUAUUGGGCGUAAAGGGCUUGUAGGCGGUUUGUCGCGCCUGUCGUGUAAUCCUCUGGCUUAACUGGGGGUGUGCGGUGGGUACGGGCAAGCUUGAGUGCGGUAGGGGAGAUUGGAAUUCCUGGUGUAGCGGUGGAAUGCGCAGAUAUCAGGAGGAACACCGGUGGCGAAGGCGGGUCUCUGGGCCGUUACUGACGCUGAGGAGCGAAAGCGUGGGGAGCGAACAGG
RNAcentral lists this ribosomal RNA (421 nucleotides) under Fusobacteriota bacterium. Its description in RNAcentral is "Fusobacteria bacterium partial 16S ribosomal RNA". It matches the Rfam family "Bacterial small subunit ribosomal RNA", at positions 355 to 776 of the family's 1533-position model. Lineage: Bacteria; Fusobacteriati; Fusobacteriota. The record is from RNAcentral.